This 495-nucleotide ribosomal RNA is filed under the name uncultured bacterium. RNAcentral describes it as "bacterial SSU rRNA". It matches the Rfam family "Bacterial small subunit ribosomal RNA", at positions 117 to 607 of the family's 1533-position model. The record is from RNAcentral.
CUUGGGAAACUGCCUGAUGGAGGGGGAUAACUACUGGAAACGGUAGCUAAUACCGCAUAACGUCUUCGGACCAAAGUGGGGGACCUUCGGGCCUCAUGCCAUCAGAUGUGCCCAGAUGGGAUUAGCUAGUAGGUGGGGUAAUGGCUCACCUAGGCGACGAUCCCUAGCUGGUCUGAGAGGAUGACCAGCCACACUGGAACUGAGACACGGUCCAGACUCCUACGGGAGGCAGCAGUGGGGAAUAUUGCACAAUGGGCGCAAGCCUGAUGCAGCCAUGCCGCGUGUAUGAAGAAGGCCUUCGGGUUGUAAAGUACUUUCAGCGAGGAGGAAGGCAUUAAGGUUAAUAACCUUAGUGAUUGACGUUGCUCGCAGAAGAAGCACCGGCUAACUCCGUGCCAGCAGCCGCGGUAAUACGGAGGGUGCAAGCGUUAAUCGGAAUUACUGGGCGUAAAGCGCACGCAGGCGGUCUGUCAAGUCGGAUGUGAAAUCCCCGGG